This 486-nucleotide ribosomal RNA is filed under the name uncultured Microbacteriaceae bacterium. Its description in RNAcentral is "bacterial SSU rRNA". It matches the Rfam family "Bacterial small subunit ribosomal RNA", at positions 8 to 507 of the family's 1533-position model. The record is from RNAcentral. Lineage: Bacteria; Bacillati; Actinomycetota; Actinomycetes; Micrococcales; Microbacteriaceae.
AGAGUUUGAUCCUGGCUCAGGAUGAACGCUGGCGGCGUGCUUAACACAUGCAAGUCGAACGAUGAAGCCCAGCUUGCUGGGUGGAUUAGUGGCGAACGGGUGAGUAACACGUGAGUAACCUGCCCUUGACUCUGGGAUAAGCGCUGGAAACGGCGUCUAAUACCGGAUACGAGCUUCCACCGCAUGGUGAGUUGCUGGAAAGAAUUUCGGUCAAGGAUGGACUCGCGGCCUAUCAGGUAGUUGGUGAGGUAACGGCUCACCAAGCCGACGACGGGUAGCCGGCCUGAGAGGGUGACCGGCCACACUGGGACUGAGACACGGCCCAGACUCCUACGGGAGGCAGCAGUGGGGAAUAUUGCACAAUGGGCGCAAGCCUGAUGCAGCAACGCCGCGUGAGGGACGAAGGCCUUCGGGUCGUAAACCUCUUUUAGCAGGGAAGAAGCGAAAGUGACGGUACCUGCAGAAAAAGCACCGGCUAACUACGUG